CCUGACUCUAAAUUAUCUGGACGAGCGAGACGGUGAACAGAACUGUCAUCACCUGACUCCUGGGAGUACCCCUGUCUGUGUCACCGAGUUCCUGGUCAGCCUUCCGCCAUGAAGAUCCUUCAUCUAGUCUUUGCUGUUGUUUUCUUGCUGCUCCUGGAUGCACCAGGAUUCUCCAAGGCCAGAACGACCCCAGGGGACUGUAGAUACCGAGGUGGAUCCUGCUUCCUUUGGCGAUGUCCCACCCCUUCUAUAUACAUUGACAAAUGCAUUCCGUUUGGCCACUGCUGUCAGAAGCGGUAGUUCAAUUGAUUGUCUGAGCAAGAUCUCUGGGAAUCCAGCAGACAGCUACUUGCUUCUAAAAUCAACAGAUUCUGCUUCAACGGACCCUUGAAACGCUAUUAAGUUCAGCUAGAAAGAAACCUGUUAGCUGGAGGAAUACCAGACGAGAGCCCUCAAAAAAUAUAAAUCAAAUAUUUGUUACUUUCCUUUUAAUAAAAGCAAGUUUGUAU
Long non-coding RNA from Pelodiscus sinensis (Chinese soft-shelled turtle), 509 nucleotides. RefSeq lists it as uncharacterized. The record is from RefSeq and is a predicted model, not a curated record. Lineage: Eukaryota; Metazoa; Chordata; Testudines; Trionychidae.